GAUGAACGCUGGCGGCGUGCCUAAUACAUGCAAGUCGAGCGAACAGACGAGGAGCUUGCUCCUUUGACGUUAGCGGCGGACGGGUGAGUAACACGUGGGUAACCUACCUAUAAGACUGGGAUAACUUCGGGAAACCGGAGCUAAUACCGGAUAAUAUUUCGAACCGCAUGGUUCGAUAGUGAAAGAUGGAUCUGCUAUCACUUAUAGAUGGACCUGCGCCGUAUUAGCUAGUUGGUAAGGUAACGGCUUACCAAGGCAACGAUACGUAGCCGACCUGAGAGGGUGAUCGGCCACACUGGAACUGAGACACGGUCCAGACUCCUACGGGAGGCAGCAGUAGGGAAUCUUCCGCAAUGGGCGAAAGCCUGACGGAGCAACGCCGCGUGAGUGAUGAAGGUCUUCGGAUCGUAAAACUCUGUUAUUAGGGAAGAACAAACGUGUAAGUAACUGUGCACGUCUUGACGGUACCUAAUCAGAAAGCCACGGCUAACUACGUGCCAGCAGCCGCGGUAAUACGUAGGUGGCAAGCGUUAUCCGGAAUUAUUGGGCGUAAAGCGCGCGUAGGCGGUUUUUUAAGUCUGAUGUGAAAGCCCACGGCUCAACCGUGGAGGGUCAUUGGAAACUGGAAAACUUGAGUGCAGAAGAGGAAAGUGGAAUUCCAUGUGUAGCGGUGAAAUGCGCAGAGAUAUGGAGGAACACCAGUGGCGAAGGCGACUUUCUGGUCUGUAACUGACGCUGAUGUGCGAAAGCGUGGGGAUCAAACAGGAUUAGAUACCCUGGUAGUCCACGCCGUAAACGAUGAGUGCUAAGUGUUAGGGGGUUUCCGCCCCUUAGUGCUGCAGCUAACGCAUUAAGCACUCCGCCUGGGGAGUACUACCGCAAGGUUGAAACUCAAAGGAAUUGACGGGGACCCGCACAAGCGGCGGAGCAUGUGGUUUAAUUCGAAUCAACGCGAAGAACCUUACCAAAUUCUUGACUUCCUCCCACCCUUCUAGAGAUAUAACUUUCCCCUUCGGGGGACAAAGUGACAGGUGGUGCAUGGUUGUCGUCAGCUCGUGUCGUGAGAUGUUGGGUUAAGUCCCGCAACGAGCGCAACCCUUAAGCUUUAUCUGCCAUCAUUAAGUUGGGCACUCUAAGUUGACUGCCGGUGACAAACCGGAGGAAGGUGGGGAUGACGUCAAAUCAUCAUGCCCCUUAUGAUUUGGGCUACACACGUGCUACAAUGGACAAUACAAAGGGCAGCGAAACCGCGAGGUCAAGCAAAUCCCAUAAAGUUGUUCUCAGUUCGGAUUGUAGUCUGCAACUCGACUACAUGAAGCUGGAAUCGCUAGUAAUCGUAGAUCAGCAUGCUNCGGUGCCUCCGUUAAGGGGUCU
This 1374-nucleotide ribosomal RNA is filed under the name uncultured bacterium. RNAcentral describes it as "bacterial SSU rRNA". It matches the Rfam family "Bacterial small subunit ribosomal RNA", at positions 28 to 1381 of the family's 1533-position model. The record is from RNAcentral.